This 154-nucleotide unclassified non-coding RNA is filed under the name uncultured Chaetosphaeriales. RNAcentral's name for it is "sequence contains ITS2". Lineage: Eukaryota; Fungi; Ascomycota; Sordariomycetes. The record is from RNAcentral.
CCACCCUCAGGCCCCGCCUGGUGUUGGGGGCCGGCCGCCCUGCGCGGCCGCCCCCGAAAGACAGCGGCGGGCUCGCCCCGGUCCCGAGCGUAGUAGCAACACGUCGCUCCGGGCGCCGGGCGGGCUCUUGCCGUAAAACCCCCCAUACUUCUAU